Molecule: long non-coding RNA, 783 nt
Filed under: Prunus persica (peach)
Lineage: Eukaryota; Viridiplantae; Streptophyta; Magnoliopsida; Rosales; Rosaceae
Description: long non-coding RNA (PPER_LNC005567)
Source: RNAcentral
AGCAAGGGAGUGUAAUUAGGUAGUGGAUUCAUCUUUUUUAUGUUCAUAUUCAUGAAUAAUGUAAAUUUACAUGAGACAUUGGGAGAAACUAACAAUUUCAGGUCAGUUUUCUUUAUUCUGUUCUUUUUAAUUUGAGAUAAUUAUUCAAUAUGAUACAUUAACUUAAACUAUAACUUGGGGUUCGACCACAAACUAUAACCUGGGUUGUGUUUGAAAUUAAGGUAACCUAAUUAAUUAAAACUUUUUUUUGGGUUAGAUAAUUAAUUAAAACUUUAAUGUCAGGUUAAUGGCACAAUAUCUUCGUCAAAACAGGAAAAAGAUGACACCCUCACCCUUGUGUCAUUCGUCAACUAUGGUGACACAUAAUUCAAUGAAAUUUUCACCAAAAAUUGCAAACUCUAACCUAAUACAGGGUAAAAAAGAGUGAAAAUGGGACUUGGUGUUAAAAAACUAAGUCGCAAAUUUCAACGACAUUUUUGUUGAUUUGGUUCGGGAUUUUGGGUUCGUUUCCAUGCCAAAUGACAGCUCGACGUCGUUCCAGUGCCAAGGACAAUUCUUUUUUGUGUUUUUGCCAAUUUGAUGACAAGUGGAAAGAAAAAUCAGAAUGUGUUUUUUCUAUUGGUAAUUUAAUUUAAUUUAAUUUAAAUUUUUUCGUUUUUAUCAGUUUUAGUUGUAAUUGUUUAUUGGAUUUCAGUUGUUUUACCCCCUGAAAUAGGACCCUUGUAUAAUUUAGGCUUAAAUGUCGAAAUAGUCCCUGUGUUCUACCUUAUCGGCCAAUUUAGC